This 1312-nucleotide ribosomal RNA is filed under the name uncultured Thalassiosira. Its description in RNAcentral is "partial Bacterial small subunit ribosomal RNA". It matches the Rfam family "Bacterial small subunit ribosomal RNA", at positions 1 to 1311 of the family's 1533-position model. Lineage: Eukaryota; Bacillariophyta; Thalassiosirophyceae; Thalassiosirales; Thalassiosiraceae. The record is from RNAcentral.
UGAAGAGUUUGAUCCUGGCUCAGGAUGAACGCUAGCUACAGGCUUAACACAUGCAAGUCGAGGGGAAACGGCAUUAUGUGCUUGCACAUUUUGGACGUCGACCGGCGCACGGGUGAGUAACGCGUAUCCAACCUUCCCAUUACUGUGGGAUAACCUGCCGAAAGGCAGACUAAUACCGCAUAGUCUUCGAUGACGGCAUCAGAUUUGAAGUAAAGAUUUAUCGGUAAUGGAUGGGGAUGCGUCUGAUUAGCUUGUUGGCGGGGUAACGGCCCACCAAGGCAACGAUCAGUAGGGGUUCUGAGAGGAAGGUCCCCCACACUGGAACUGAGACACGGUCCAGACUCCUACGGGAGGCAGCAGUGAGGAAUAUUGGUCAAUGGGCGAGAGCCUGAACCAGCCAAGUAGCGUGCAGGAUGACGGCCCUAUGGGUUGUAAACUGCUUUUGUAUGGGGAUAAAGUCAAUCACGUGUGAUUGUUUGCAGGUACCAUACGAAUAAGGACCGGCUAAUUCCGUGCCAGCAGCCGCGGUAAUACGGAAGGUCCAGGCGUUAUCCGGAUUUAUUGGGUUUAAAGGGAGCGUAGGCGGAUUGUUAAGUCAGCGGUUAAAGGGUGUGGCUCAACCAUGCAUUGCCGUUGAAACUGGCGAUCUUGAGUGCAGACAGGGAUGCCGGAAUUCGUGGUGUAGCGGUGAAAUGCUUAGAUAUCACGAAGAACUCCGAUCGCGAAGGCAGGUGUCCGGGCUGCAACUGACGCUGAGGCUCGAAAGUGUGGGUAUCAAACAGGAUUAGAUACCCUGGUAGUCCACGCGGUAAACGAUGGAUGCUCGUUGUCGGCCUUUAUGGUCGGUGACCAAGCGAAAGCGUUAAGCAUCCCACCUGGGGAGUACGCCGGCAACGGUGAAACUCAAAGGAAUUGACGGGGGCCCGCACAAGCGGAGGAACAUGUGGUUUAAUUCGAUGAUACGCGAGGAACCUUACCCGGGCUUGAAUUGCAGAGGAAGGAUUUAGAGAUAAUGACGCCCUUCGGGGUCUCUGUGAAGGUGCUGCAUGGUUGUCGUCAGCUCGUGCCGUGAGGUGUCGGCUUAAGUGCCAUAACGAGCGCAACCCCUCUCUUCAGUUGCCAUCAGGUAAUGCUGGGCACUCUGGGAACACUGCCACCGCAAGGUGUGAGGAAGGUGGGGAUGACGUCAAAUCAGCACGGCCCUUACGUCCGGGGCUACACACGUGUUACAAUGGCCGGUACAGAGGGAUGGUGUAAUGCAAAUUGCAUCAAAUCUUGAAAGCCGGUCCCAGUUCGGACUGGGGUCUGCAAC